UUAUACAGCGAAACUGCGAAUGGCUCAUUAUAUAAGUUAUCGUUUAUUUGAUAGUACCUUACUACUUGGAUAACCGUGGUAAUUCUAGAGCUAAUACAUGCUGAAAAUCCCGACUUCGGAAGGGAUGUAUUUAUUAGAUUAAAAACCAAUGCCCUCUGGGCUCUCUGGUGAUUCAUAAUAACUUCUCGAAUCGCAUGGCCUUGCGCCGGCGAUGGUUCAUUCAAAUUUCUUCCCUAUCAACUUUCGAUGUUUGGGUAGUGGCCAAACAUGGUUGCAACGGGUAACGGAGGGUUAGGGCUCGACCCCGGAGAAGGAGCCUGAGAAACGGCUACUACAUCCAAGGAAGGCAGCAGGCGCGCAAAUUACCCAAUCCCGAUUCGGGGAGGUAGUGACAAUAAAUACUGAUACAGGGCUCUUUUGGGUCUUGUAAUUGGAAUGAGUACAAUUUAAAUCCCUUAACGAGGAACAAUUGGAGGGCAAGUCUGGUGCCAGCAGCCGCGGUAAUUCCAGCUCCAAUAGCGUAUAUUAAAGUUGUUGUGGUUAAAAAGCUCGUAGUUGAACCUUGGGCCUGGCUGGCCGGUCCGCCUCACCGCGUGUACUGGUCCGGCCGGGUCUUUCCCUCUGUGGAACCCCAUGCCCUUCACUGGGUGUGGCGGGGAAACAGGACUUUUACUUUGAAAAAAUUAGAGUGCUCCAGGCAGGCCUAUGCUCGAAUACAUUAGCAUGGAAUAAUGAAAUAGGACGUGCGGUUCUAUUUUGUUGGUUUCUAGGACCGCCGUAAUGAUUAAUAGGGACAGUCGGGGGCAUCAGUAUUCAAUUGUCAGAGGUGAAAUUCUUGGAUUUAUUGAAGACUAACUACUGCGAAAGCAUUUGCCAAGGAUGUUUUCAUUAAUCAGGAACGAAAGUUAGGGGAUCGAAGACGAUCAGAUACCGUCGUAGUCUUAACCAUAAACUAUGCCGACUAGGGAUCGGACGAUGUUAUUUUUUGACUCGUUCGGCACCUUACGAGAAAUCAAAGUGC
This 1021-nucleotide ribosomal RNA is filed under the name Metarhizium owariense. RNAcentral's name for it is "SSU rRNA". It matches the Rfam family "Eukaryotic small subunit ribosomal RNA", at positions 74 to 1106 of the family's 1831-position model. The record is from RNAcentral. Lineage: Eukaryota; Fungi; Ascomycota; Sordariomycetes; Hypocreales; Clavicipitaceae.